RNAcentral lists this microRNA precursor (106 nucleotides) under Triticum aestivum (bread wheat). Its description in RNAcentral is "miR9654a stem-loop (tae-MIR9654a)". The record is from miRBase by way of RNAcentral. Lineage: Eukaryota; Viridiplantae; Streptophyta; Magnoliopsida; Poales; Poaceae.
UGCACGUUGGUUCGCUUCAAGCCUUGUGGAAUAGGGUAGACUGCAUGGAGCUAUGUGCAGUGCAGUUUACACUAUUCUGAAAGGCUUGAAGCGAAUUAACUAGCAU